GAGUAAGAGCAUCUAUUGCAAAAUUAAAUGGUGCAUCUUUCCUUGAAGGUUGGCCAAAGUAGCUAGUGAUUCUCCGUGCCUAUCAAAUUGGUUUUCUACUGUUUUGAUAAUGGCCUCGAACAAGUCGCAACAUC
Molecule: small nucleolar RNA, 134 nt
Organism: Neltuma alba
Lineage: Eukaryota; Viridiplantae; Streptophyta; Magnoliopsida; Fabales; Fabaceae
Source: RefSeq, a predicted model, not a curated record